RNAcentral lists this ribosomal RNA (289 nucleotides) under uncultured Thermomonosporaceae bacterium. RNAcentral describes it as "partial 16S ribosomal RNA". The record is from RNAcentral. Lineage: Bacteria; Bacillati; Actinomycetota; Actinomycetes; Streptosporangiales; Thermomonosporaceae.
CUACUCGGGUAUCUAAUCCUGUUCGCUCCCCACGCUUUCGCUCCUCAGCGUCAGUACAGGCCCAGAGAACCGCCUUCGCCACCGGUGUUCCUCCCGAUAUCUGCGCAUUUCACCGCUACACCGGGAAUUCCAUUCUCCCCUGCCUGCCUCCAGCCGGCCCGUAUCCACUGCACGCCCGGGGUUAAGCCCCGGGAUUUCACAGCAGACGCAACCAGCCGCCUACGAGCUCUUUACGCCCAAUAAUUCCGGACAACGCUUGCGCCCUACGUAUUACCGCGGCUGCUGGCAC